RNAcentral lists this long non-coding RNA (433 nucleotides) under Rattus norvegicus (Norway rat). RNAcentral's name for it is "long non-coding RNA NONRATT006685". Lineage: Eukaryota; Metazoa; Chordata; Mammalia; Rodentia; Muridae. The record is from RNAcentral.
UGAAAACAGAGUCACCAGUGGAGGAGUUAGAGAAAGGACUAAGGUAACUGAGGGGAUUUGCAACCCCAUAGGAAGAACAACAAUAUCAACCAACCAGAGCCCCCAGUGUUCCCAGGGAGUAAACCACCAAUCAGAGAGUUCAUAUGGAGAGACCCAUGGCUCCAGCUGCAUAUGUACCAGAGGAUGGCCCUUGUCAGACUCAAUGGGAGGAGAGGUCCUCAGUCCUGUGAAGACUCUAUACCCCAGUGUAGGGGAAUGCCAGGGCAGGGAGGCAGAAGUGAGUGGGUAGGUGGGUUUGUGGGUUGGGGGAGCAACCUCAUAGAGGCAGGGGUGGAAAGAUGGGAUGGGGAGUUUUUGGAGGGGAAACUAGGAAUGGGGAUAACAUUUGAAAUGUAAAUAAAGAAAAUAUCCAGUAAAAGAAGAAGACAAAGAA